Molecule: ribosomal RNA, 445 nt
Filed under: uncultured bacterium
Lineage: Bacteria
Description: bacterial SSU rRNA
Rfam family: Bacterial small subunit ribosomal RNA
Source: RNAcentral
GACGAACGCUGGCGGCGUGCCUAACACAUGCAAGUCGAACGGAGAUGCCGAGGUAGUUUACUACGGAGGUAUCUUAGUGGCGGACGGGUGAGUAACACGUGGGCAACCUGCCCCAAAGAGGGGGAUAACACCGAGAAAUCGGUGCUAAUACCGCAUAACAUUAGAGUUUCGCAUGGAGCUUUAAUCAAAGGAGGAAUCCGCUUUGGGAUGGGCCCGCGUCUGAUUAGCUAGUUGGUGAGGUAACGGCUCACCAAGGCGACGAUCAGUAGCCGAUCUGAGAGGAUGACCGGCCACACUGGAACUGAGACACGGUCCAGACUCCUACGGGAGGCAGCAGUGGGGAAUAUUGCACAAUGGGGGAAACCCUGAUGCAGCAACGCCGCGUGGAGGAAGAAGGUCUUCGGAUUGUAAACUCCUGUCUUCUGGGACGAAGUAUGACGGUACC